This is a non-coding RNA of Stegodyphus mimosarum, 73 nucleotides long. NCBI's taxonomy places the organism in Eukaryota, Metazoa, Arthropoda, Arachnida, Araneae, Eresidae. The record is from Rfam.
GCCUUCGUGGUGUAGUAGUCAGCACGUUCGGCGCGUAACUUAGAGGUCUGUGGUUCGAUUCCCGGCGAGAGCA